Molecule: ribosomal RNA, 483 nt
Filed under: Pontastacus leptodactylus (narrow-clawed crayfish)
Lineage: Eukaryota; Metazoa; Arthropoda; Malacostraca; Decapoda; Astacidae
Description: Astacus leptodactylus (narrow-clawed crayfish) partial 16S ribosomal RNA
Rfam family: Bacterial large subunit ribosomal RNA
Source: RNAcentral
ACCUGCCCAUUGGAAUCUAAAAGGCCGCGGUAUUAUGACCGUGCUAAGGUAGCAUAAUCAUUAGUCUUUUAAUUGGAGGCUGGUAUGAAUGGUUGGACAAGAAAUAAGCUGUCUUAAAUAAAAAUAUUGAAUUUAACUUUUAAGUGAAAAGGCUUAAAUUUUCUAAGGGGACGAUAAGACCCUAUAAAACUUUAUAUUUUAAAAUAAUAAUUAAUUUUUAUAUAGAAGAUUUAUUUUUAAAUAUUUUAUUGGGGUGAUAAAGAUAAAAUGUGAGAUAACUGUCUUUUUUUUUUUACAAUUAAUAUUUGAGUAAAAGAUCCUAACAAAGGAAAUAAGAGAUUAAGUUACUUUAGGGAUAACAGCGUAAUUUUCUUUAAGAGUUCUUAUCAACAAGAAAGUUUGCGACCUCGAUGUUGAAUUAAAAGUUCUUUAUAGAGUAAAUAUUAUAAUAGAGGGUCUGUUCGACCCUUAAAAUUUUACGUG